Molecule: small RNA, 101 nt
Filed under: Vibrio gazogenes DSM 21264 = NBRC 103151
Lineage: Bacteria; Pseudomonadati; Pseudomonadota; Gammaproteobacteria; Vibrionales; Vibrionaceae
Also listed under: 1 other name
Description: Qrr RNA
Rfam family: Qrr RNA
About the family: This family represents a set of small RNAs (the Qrr RNAs) that are thought to be involved in the regulation of quorum sensing in Vibrio species. It is believed that these RNAs, guided by a protein, Hfq, can mediate the destabilisation of the quorum-sensing master regulators LuxR/HapR mRNAs.
Source: RNAcentral
UGACCCUUAAGCCGAGGGUCACCUAGCCAACUGACGUUGUUAGUGAACCCUGUUGUUCACAUUGAUUGUGCCAAGUGCGGAUUGCACUUGGCUUUUUUUUG